Molecule: transfer RNA, 75 nt
Filed under: Cordylochernes scorpioides
Lineage: Eukaryota; Metazoa; Arthropoda; Arachnida; Pseudoscorpiones; Chernetidae
Description: tRNA-Thr
Source: RNAcentral
UGUCCAGGGGCGGGAAUCGAACCCACAACCUUCUGCUUACCGGGCAGGUGCCAUGUCCACUAGGCUACCCGGGAC